RNAcentral lists this unclassified non-coding RNA (6702 nucleotides) under Stegodyphus dumicola. RNAcentral describes it as "serine/arginine-rich splicing factor 1B-like, transcript variant X3". The record is from RNAcentral. Lineage: Eukaryota; Metazoa; Arthropoda; Arachnida; Araneae; Eresidae.
ACAUUUCUGGAAUAUUUAAAUGUAAUAUAUGAGGCAUAUAAUUUUAUUCUGAUUUAAAAGUAUCUUUUUCCUCUUGUUUAUUUAUUACAUUUUCGGCAGUUUUCUUCAAUUGCGCUUUAAUCUUUUAACUUUAACCAUCUCUUUCUAUCUAGCCAUUUUCACACAAACGACGCUGCGUUUUUUAAGAUUACAUUGUGUAGGCAAGUAAUAUAAAAAAAUUGUGGUAAACAUGUCUUAUAGGAAUAACGAUUGCCGAAUAUAUGUUGGAAAUUUGCCGCCUGAUAUUCGUACGAAAGAUAUUGAAGAUUUAUUCUACAAAUUUGGUAAAAUAACAUUUAUCGAUCUCAAAAAUAGACGAGGCCCUCCAUUUGCUUUUGUGGAAUUCGAAGAUCCCAGGGAUGCAGAAGAUGCAGUUCAAGCACGUGAUGGUUAUGAUUAUGAUGGAUACAGAUUGCGUGUUGAAUUUCCUCGGGGAAAUGGUCCAGGCAGGGGAAUGGGUGCACCAAGAGGAAGAGGCAGAGGGCCACCUGCAAGACGAUCUCAGUAUCGUGUAUUAGUGUCAGGUCUUCCUUCAACAGGCAGCUGGCAGGAUUUGAAAGAUCACAUGAGAGAAGCUGGAGAUGUGUGUUAUGCAGAUGUGCAUAAAGAUGGAACUGGUGUUGUUGAGUUCCUGAGAUAUGAAGAUAUGAAAUAUGCAGUUAAAAAAUUAGAUGAUUCAAGAUUUCGUUCUCAUGAGGGUGAAGUUGCUUAUAUCAGAGUAAAAGAAGACUUUGGUAGUCGUUCAAGAUCAAGAAGUCGAAGUUAUUCUCCUCGCAGAACCCGCGGCUCUCCAACCUAUUCUCCAGCCAAUCGCUCACGUUCCCGAUCUCAUUCAAGAUCGCGCUCAUAAACUGUCAUUCUGAAAGCUGUUUCAUUUCCAAAACUGAUUUUAUCAAAAUGUGGAAAACCCUGUUGAUGAAAUUGAAAUUUGAAUAAAAUGGAUUAAAAGGACAUUAAAAGGAGCUGACAUUAUUUAAAUGGACCCUUAAGCAAGAGCAGCGUGGAAUCAUUAAGGAAACCGCUAGGGUUAUUUUUAAAUGUAACAUUGAAGGAUUAAAGGAAUGUAAGCAAUUUACAAAGGAGAAGGACUUCUGUGCAAAACCUGGAUUUUGGCGUGUCCUCUCAUAACUUUGCUUAGGCUACUCGGUUGGAUUUCAUUUCCCAAAUUGGAUUAUGCCAUGGAUAGGAGCACUGUUUAGGAUUAGCUUCCCAAUUUGGAUCACUGUCUCAUGGGAGCAAGUUGGAAUUUUUCCGCUUAAGGAGAUUAUGGAUACAUAAAGACAUGCUGGGAAGGAUUCGUAAUUCCAAAUAUCACAGGAUAGGAAAGUGGGACAAGCAUUUUUCGUCACAGGAGAUGGUCUCGUGAGGAUGAUGCAUACGUAAAUUUUCUCUGGAUGAACCAGGAAAGGUGGAAAGGAAUUAGGUUUCCUGCAUCGGAUCACUUGCUAAUGUACAGAGCAGUAAUAUUAAGGAUUGGAUGCAUGGAUUCCUCCUGGACACGUGGAGUGGAUCUUGGAGGAUGGAUAUUCAUAUGUAUUUAACAUAUAUUUGUAGGGGGCAGGUAUUUUUCUGUAUUGUAGGAAAUGUUUUGGGACUUCCAUCCCUCUCAAAGAGAAAGGAAUGUAAACUAUAUAAAUUCUUAAAUAUUUUGUGUUCAUACUACUUUUCGAUUAUGUACUGGCAUUAUUUUUCUGGUUUCUUAAAAUUGCCAAAACUAAGCUGGUAAUGUGUUCUCAUAAAACAAACUGAAAAUUAAAAAAAAGAAAAAAUGGUUUUAUAAUCUUUUAGAUGAAAGCUUCCUGAUGUAAACUAAUGAAAAGGUAAAAAUAGCAUUGUGUACCUGCAAGUUUUAUCCAAGUACAUUGUUAAUUCUUAUUUUUUAAUAAUAAUUACACAUCAGAAUUUUUUUGUUCCAUGCUGAUUUAAAACUAUUUGCCAAUAUUUAUUUAUUUAUUUUUUAAAGUUCUCAAAGGAAAUAAAAUUUGGUAGCUAGUUCUAAAAUCCCAUGUUAUUUUUUUUUUUACUACAGUUACUAUAAACAUUCUUUUUAGAGAGCAAUACACUCUGCAGAUCUGAUUAAAUAUAAAUAUGUUUUAAAAAAAUAAUUUUUUCCUUUGCAAAAAUAUUUUCUAUAUUCAGUUAAGUGUAGAAUAUUGCUUGAAUGUAACUGUUUUGCAUUAUUAUGUUGGUCUCGAAGUGCACAGUUUAACUUUGUUGUGCUCUUGACCUUGCAGGUCUCGAGACCACUUAUGCCUUUUUCCCCUAAGAAUGUGUAGAAGAUAUCCCAUAGCUCUUGCUUCUGACUAUCAUACAGUAGAACUUAAUAGCAUAUUGCUAAUGCAUUUUAAUGUUGUUUCCAAGGUAGAGGGAUGAUUGCAAAAAAAAAAAAAAAAUUAUCACUUUGGUGAUGUCAUCAUAUGAGAGAUUUAUGCAUAAAACAUCCGUUCCUGCAAUCUUUUAUCUUUCCAUAUAGUGCUGUAUAAUACAUUUGGAAUUACAAAAUAUUUUUUCCAUGUAAUUCAAAUCUUCGUCUGCUUUUUGAAAUUCUUUAGUGGUCAAAAUUUCAUUUUUUUUUUUUUAUCUUUAUAAUAUAUAAACAAUACUCAUUUUCCCCCCUUGUAGACUGAAAUUUUAAUGAGUGGAAGUCUCUUUAUUAAUGCAUUAUGCUUAAAAACAUGGAUGGGGGGGAAAUAUGUAUCCUUAGAAUUUAAAGGGUUUAUUUAUUUCUUUUUUCCCUCUUUUAACUUGUAGUUGGAAAAGGUAAGUAUUCCAUAGGUGGGUGUAGAUUUUAUGUGAUAUUUAAGUUUUUUCUUGAUAUUUGAGUAGAAAAUAAAAUCUGAAUCCUUUUAUCCUUGUCCUGGUGUGUUUUUGUUCUAAAACUGUAGUCUGAAUGAGUAAUUUCUUACUUUAAAAUCUAAUCAAGUAUUUCUAAUUAGGAUGCAUAAAUUUUCAGCAGAUUGCAUAUGAAUAAUUAAUUUAGUAAUACAGUUAAUCCAUAAAUGAUAGAAACAUCAUACUUUGAGUUUUUCAUAUUUGCAAAAUUUCAUGUUAAAUAUCAGUGUUAAAAAAAAAAAAAAAAAAAAAAAAAAAAAAACUUCGAAGUGCUUAACUCAUCAAAUUCAUCCUAUUUUCUGAAUAGUUUUAAGUUUAGGUAUUAUAACAGUUUUUAUAUUUCUUUAGUGAAUGUGUAUAGUAUGAGAACAAAGUAUGUUUAAAAAUGAUUUUUAUCAGAAACCAUUUGGUAUAAAUGCAAGUCAUUACUUUAUAUGUCAUGAUUUAUUAAUCAGACUAAUACAAGCUUUUGCAUGAACAUAAUUAUGUAUUGGUUUACAUUUGAGUUUGAAAUCAGUUUCUGUUCAAUUAUAAAUAAUUAUUUAAAUGAAAUUAUACUAGAAAGUAAUUAAUAUUACCAAAUUUAAAACUUUAUACUGAAAUUAAGUAAAACUCUUUAAUUAAAAAAUAAUUAAACUCUGAAACAUAAUUUUCAAUUUCCAGUAGUUCAUUUUGCGAACUGCAUUUGAAGAUACGAAGUACUUAGUUUGUGCAUUGAAGCAGUAUUGAGGUUUUUGAACAUAUGAGCUUGUAAAUGGCAAUUAAUGAAAGUGGUGAAUAUGAUUAUCUUAAAAGUUUACUUCAGGUAUAAUCUUUAUCGAUACAUUUGUCUUUGUCUGUUGCCAGCUCUGCCGUUUGGUCACAAAAUUAAGGAACUGGUCUACACCUCAAAGUAAAUAGGUGUUCUUAUUACAGACUAGGCCAGGGAAAUGGUUGAAAUAUACACUCUAAAAAAAAUAAUAUAAGCUCUAAAAAAGGUUAAGGAAAGUGAAAUUUCUCUAAAAAGUCAACGAAGUAGGGAAGUAUGCUGAUUAAUUCUCUCGAAUAGUAAAUAGGUUAAGUAAUAAUCAUUAAACCAAAAUUGCCCAUCUUGAAAGCAAAUUAGUUAUUGUAAUGUUUUUGAUUUUAUCAACUUAAUAGCUUUCAUGCCUAUUAAUGAGCUAUUCACCUUUCUGUUUAGAAAUGUGACUGUUCAAUCAUCACCCUUUGUAGAAUUACCACAUGUAAAACUAAAUAGCAUGGUUCAGAAGUCAUUACAUUGUGUGAUUGUGCAUUAUAAUUGUUAUAUUAUUACAUAUUAACUGAAUCUGGUUAAUUAGCUCAUUAGUUUUACAAGGGUAUAUCAAAAGGUUCUUGGAUUAGUUCUGUUGAUAAAAAAACAUAUUACUUAAAAAACUUUGAACAUUUCUUUUGAAAUAAUCACCUUAUACAGGCUUUUAUUGGAAUGCGAUCUCAAAAUCAUUUUUGUAAGCACUCGUGGAUGUCUUGGCAAUCCAUGAUGUGAUAUUCUUUCUGCUCAGGAAUUCACAAAGACAAAUUUGAUAGCAGUAUGCCCUAUGUUCUUUUCUGAUGUUAGGAUUGUCUGCACGGACCUGUUCAAACCACUGCAGUGCCUGUAGUUAAUACUGAUCAUUCUCCAUUACCUGCAUGCACAAGUUCCUGAACUCGUUCCUCAUUUUUUAGGGUGAUGUUGAUGGAAGGUCUUCCAGAUUGCCCAUCAAAGGGUGUUUCAGCACUUCUGAAGUACCUGUGCCUUUCGAAACAUUACGUACAACUCAUUGCUUCAUUGUCAUAAACAUGCAAGUGCAUGGUCAGUGUUUCUGUAGCCUAUUUGCCCAUUUAACACAGAAUUUCACAUUGGCUUUUGUUCAUGAUGUAAUAAUCGUGGACUACUAUGUCCAUGUAAUUACAGAAAUACUACUGCAGCAACUGUUGACACUCCCAUAGUGUUGUCUUUUGCUACACUGCUUUAUCAAGACUAAAAGUCACUGUAGCUGCAAGUGCAGACCUGUUUUGCGUCUUGUUGGUUUGCUACAGAGCUAAUCCAAGAAUUUUUUAAUGUAACCAUGUGCUUUAAAAUGCUGCAGCAUUAUGUUUAUUAUAAAUGAUCUCAUAUUUUAAAUUUCUUUGCAGAAUAAGCAUGCUCCCCCCUUCCGAGUGAUUAAAAACCUUACCAAGCUUUUUUUUUUUUUUAUUUAAAUUUAUUUGAUCUAGAUGAUUAUUUUAUAUAUUUUUCUUACAUAUGCUUCAAGGUAAUGAGUAAGCUAGAUUAGAAUUUUUUAAAUGUUUUUGAUUAAUUUAAUGUAUUUUAUAAUUAUUGCACAUUAUUCAAUUAUGAUAUUUAAUUUGAUAAACGAUAUCAUCACAUUUGGUCAGAGAAAUCAUUCAACUAGGUCAGGGAAAUUAAAGGUUGAAUUUCAGUAGGAACCCUGCAGAUGCAAAUUUUCACAAAUUUUUAUGUUGGUAACUCAACCAAUAUCAGCAAGUACACAGUUACAGCACAUACUGCCAGCUCAAGCUUUAGAACUGGAAUUUUACUGAUUUGUGGUAACCGACUCUGUGACUGAAACAUAAUCAUGAGAUUGUGGGCCCAUCUAACCCAGUUAAGUGAGAACUCCUUGUGAAUUGUGUUAGGAUUUGCAAGUUCAUCCAGAGUGGUUUUUUUUUUUUUUUUUUUUUUUUUUUUUUUUGUUUUGUUUUAGUUGACUUUGUUUGUGUUGCACAUGUAAUUAUCCACAUUAUUUUGUAUUCUUUAAUUUGAAGAGAUGCUUCCUUUUACACAGUAGGCCAUAAAUUAUAUAUCGUUCUGUCUUGUUAACAUAAAAUCGGCUAUUUUAUGUACUGAGGCUUCCAUUAUUUAUACUUGUCAUGCUUACUUGCACUUUACUGAGAUCAGAUGUGAUAACUUUCUUCACUGCCACUACAGUAUUGCGUAUUUUCUGGCAGUUUUUUAGUUUCUGAUGCUGCAUUUUCAAUUUAUACUUUUUUUUUUUAAUCUAAUUGUUUUCAUUAUGUUUUCUGCCAUCUAUCUAUUCAUAUGGAAAAUAAAAAUGUUGCUGCGAUAUUUUUUUUUUUCUGUUUAUGUGGAAAUCUCCUUACAGUGUUUUAAAAACUUUGAAUCUGCAUUUUGGAAUACUUUAAAAAUAAAAGAAACUUCUUUAUUAUUUGUUUAUCAAAGUUAUGUAAAGAAAAAUAAUAUAUGUGUAAGCCUGACUUUUGAAUGAUUAAAAGAAAAUAUUUAUUUCUUAUUAAUGCCACAAAAAAGUUCCUAAAUGUCAUAAAUUUUCUAUUAAUGAUAUCAGAACUGUGAAAUUAAACACAUAUUUUUAUUUGCCUAAAUUUGAGAACUUAAAUUGCCAUAUAUCAUUCCAAGUGCUCAGAAUCAGCUAUUUGUCACAUUCCAAGGACUUAGCCAAAUGUUAAAGAAAAUAUAAGUAAUUCUGCUCUGGGAGUGAAAAUUGUUUGUAAUGUUUGGAAAUAUCUAAAGUAAUGAGUAGCAAAACUGAUGGCAGAUUUGUGAAGACUGAAGAAACAAGGAAAGUUGUUACACCUGUGAAAAGUCUUGCAUUUAGAAUCAAGAAAGACCAAGCUGACCAAGAUUUGUUGUUUAUUGAGUACAACAUUUCAUUCAUUUUCCUUUAUUUAAUACUUGGUAAUCAUUAAGUUUUAGAGUUUAGUCCAUUAGAUAGAUUAACUCUGAAAUCUAAAUGUUAGUAUAAACUAGUUCACAUUGUAGAUAAUAUUUUUUAUGGCUACUGUUAUGUAAUAUGUAGCAUUUCAGAUAGGUGAUACUAUGCAUUAAAUUCACAAUAAAGUUUAAAUGACUUUUGU